AACGAACGCUGGCGGCAGGCUUAACACAUGCAAGUCGAACGCCUGUAGCAAUACAGGAGUGGCAGACGGGUGAGUAACACGUGGGAACGUGCCCAAAGGUACGGAACAACUCCGGGAAACUGGAGCUAAUACCGUAUGUGCCCGGAAGGGGAAAGAUUUAUCGCCUUUGGAUCGGCCCGCGUCUGAUUAGCUAGUUGGUGGGGUAAUGGCCUACCAAGGCGACGAUCAGUAGCUGGUCUGAGAGGAUGGCCAGCCACACUGGGACUGAGACACGGCCCAGACUCCUACGGGAGGCAGCAGUGGGGAAUAUUGGACAAUGGGCGCAUGCCUGAUCCAGCCAUGCCGCGUGAGUGAUGAAGGCCUUAGGGUUGUAAAGCUCUUUCGCCAGGGACGAUAAUGACGGUACCUGGAUAAGAAGCCCCGGCUAACUUCGUGCCAGCCGCCGCAGUAA
Molecule: ribosomal RNA, 451 nt
Filed under: uncultured bacterium
Lineage: Bacteria
Description: partial 16S ribosomal RNA
Rfam family: Bacterial small subunit ribosomal RNA
Source: RNAcentral